This 66-nucleotide transfer RNA is filed under the name Pila virens. RNAcentral's name for it is "tRNA-Pro". Lineage: Eukaryota; Metazoa; Mollusca; Gastropoda; Architaenioglossa; Ampullariidae. The record is from RNAcentral.
CGAAAUUGUAGUUUAAUAAAAAUAUUAGCUUUGGGAGUUAAAGAUUAAAUUUAAUUUACAUUUCGG